AUACUUAUGUAAAUAAGGUACUUCUGGUUUUGUAUUUUUACUACAUUUGCAAAAAUGUCUAAACAUUGUGUAGAUUGAGGAAAUAAAAGUAAUUCAAAACAUUUUAGAAUAAGGCUGUAAUGUAUCAAAGUGGACAACAGAUGCACUGUGAUGAAAUAUAUACAGACACAGUGUUAUACAAAUGCACUGUGUCUGUAUACCUGAGUGUUUGUGAAUACAUCUACUGAUGUGUGUGUGGGUGUACAGACCAUUGACAAUAUGGCCUGUUUGUAUGGAGAAUUAUUUUCAUAGAUAUUGUAUUGGGGAUGUUUUCAAGCCGAUGAAAGGUACUACUGUAUAACUAACUAAUAAGAUGUAUUGAAGCCUUAUACAGCAUAUCGAGAGCUGAGGACUAGAAGGGUCUAUCUGCAAAAAGAUCAUUCUGAGAUAAUUGGCUUUUAAUUUCUGAACCCUCAUUGGUUUGAACGGUGUCGGCUAUUUUUUUAAAUCUUGUAUUCUUUGGAACUUAAUUCAUGAGUACCACAAUUCAUGUUGAGUACUAUAUACUUAGUGUAUUUAGAGUAUUAUAUACUUAGUGUAUUUAGAGUAUUAUAUACAUAGUGUGUGUAGAGAACAUUGUAUUUAGAGUACUAUGUAGUAUAUAUAGAGAACAUAGUAUUUAGAGUACUGUGUAGUAUAUGUGGAAAAUAUAGUAUUUAGAGUACUAAGUAUUUAGAGUACUGUGUAGUAUAUGUGGAAAAUAUAGUAUUUAGAGUACUAUGUAGUAUAUGUAGAGAACAUAGUAUUUAGAGUACUGUGUAGUAUAUGUGGAAAAUAUAGUAUUUAGAGUACUAUGUAGUAUAUGUAGAGAACAUUGUAUUUAGAGUAGUGUAUAUAUAGAGAACAUUGUAUUUAGAGUACUAUAUAGUAUAUGUAGAGAAUAUUGUAUUUAGAUUAGUAUAUAUAGAGAACAUUAUAUUUAGAGUACUAUAUAGUAUAUAUAGAAAACAUUGUAUUUAGAGUACUAUAUAUGUAGAGAACAUUGUAUUUAGUACUAUGUAGUAUAUGUAGAAAACAUUGUAUUUAGAGUAGUGUAUAUAUAGAGAACAAUGUAUUUAGAGUACUAGGUAGUAUAUGUAGAGAACAUUGUAUUUAGAGUACUAUGUAGUAUAUGUAGAGAACAUUGUAUUUAGAGUAGUGUAUAUAUAGAGAACAUCGUAUUUAGAGUAGUAUAUAUAUAGAGAACAUUGUAUUUAGAGUACUAUGUAGUAUAUGUAGAGAACAUUGUAUUUAGUACUAUGUAGUAUAUGUAGAGAACAUUGUAUUUAGAGUAGUGUAUAUAUAGAGAACAUUGUAUUUAGAGUACUAGGUAGUAUAUGUAGAGAACAUUGUAUUUAGAGUACUAGGUAGUAUAUGUAGAGAACAUUGUAUUUAGAGUACUGUAUAUAUAGAGAACAUUGUAUUUAGAGUGCUAGGUAGUAUAUGUAGAGAACAUUGUAUUUAGAGUACUAUGUAGUAUAUGUAGAGAACAUUGUAUUUAGAGUACUAGGUAGUAUAUGUAGAGAACAUUGUAUUUAGAGUACUAGGUAGAGAACAUUGUAUUUAGAGUACUAUGUAGUAUAUGUAGAGAACAUUGUAUUUAGAGUACUAGGUAGAGAACAUCGUAUUUAGAGUACUAUGUAGAGAACAUUGUAUUUAGAGUACUAGGUAGUACAUGUAGAGAACAUUGUAUUUAGAGUGCUAUGUAGUAUAUGUAGAGAACAUUGUAUUUAAAGUACUAGGUAGAGAACAUCGUAUUUAGAGUACUAGGUAGUAUAUGUAGAGAACAUUGUAUUUAGAGUACUAGGUAGUAUAUGUAGAUAGAACAUUGUAUUUAGAGUACUAGGUAGAGAACAUUGUAUUUAGAGUACUAGGUAGUAUAUGUAGAGAACAUCGUAUUUAAAGUACUAGGUAGAGAACAUCGUAUUUAGAGUACUAGGUAGUAUAUGUAGAGAACAUUGUAUUUAGAGUACUAGGUAGUAUAUGUAGAGAACAUUGUAUUUAGAGUACUAGGUAGAGAACAUUGUAUUUAGAGUGCCAGGUAGUAUAUGUAGAUAGAAUAUUGUAUUUAGAGUACUAUGUAGUAUAUGUAGAGAACAUUGUAUUUAGAGUACUAGGUAGUAUAUAUAGAGAACAUUGUAUUUAGAGUGCUAGGUAGUAUAUGUAGAUAGAACCUUGUAUUUAGAGUACUAUGUAGUAUAUGUAGAUAGAACCUUGUAUUUAGAGUACUAUGUAGUAUAUGUAGAGAACAUAGUAUUUAGAGUACUGUGUAGUAUAUGUGGAAAAUAUAGUAUUUAGAGUGCUAGGUAGUAUAUGUAGAUAGAACAUUGUAUUUAGAGUGCUAGGUAGAGAACAUUGUAUUUAGAGUACUAUGUAGUAUAUGUAGAUAGAACAUCGUAUUUAGAGUACUAGGUAGUAUUAGAGUACUGUAGUAUUUAGAGUACUGUAGUAGUAAUGUAGUAUAUGUAGAUAGAACCUUCUAGCCCCAACCUCUGCUAGCCCCAACCUUCUAGCCCCAACCUCUGGUAGUAUUAGAGUACUGUAGUAUUUAGAGUACUGUAGUAGUAAUGUAGUAUAUGUAGAUAGAACCUUCUAGCCCCAACCUCUGGUAGUAUUAGAGUACUGUAGUAUUUAGAGUACUGUAGUAGUAAUGUAGUAUAUGUAGAUAGAACCUUCUAGCCCCAACCUCUGGUAGUAUUAGAGUACUGUAGUAUUUAGAGUACUGUAGUAGUAAUGUAGUAUAUGUAGAUAGAACCUUCUAGCCCCAACCUCUGGUAGUAUUAGAGUACUGUAGUAUUUAGAGUACUGUAGUAGUAAUGUAGUAUAUGUAGAUAGAACCUUCUAGCCCCAACCUCUGCUGGUGUUUGUGACGCCUUUCAUAAUAUGACCUUUCAACUUUCUGCUCUACAGGGAAAAGCUCAUGGUAUGAAAGAGUCAGAAGUAUUUAAAACCUGCGUGGAGGAACUGUUCUUAUUACUGUCCCACCCCCCUGGGGCGGCAGGGUAGCCUAGUGGUUAGAGCGUUGGACUAGUAACCGGAAGGUUGCGAGUUCAAACCCCCGAGCUGACAAGGUACAAAUCUGUCGUUCUGCCCCUGAACAGGCAGUUAACCCACUGUUUCUAGGCCGUCAUUGAAAAUAAGAAUUUGUUUCUUAAUUAACUGACGAAGUCUGUAUCCUAAAUGGAACCCUGGAAAAGUGCGUCACUUCUGGUCAAAACUAGUGCACUAUAUAGUGUGCCACUUCUGGUCAAAUCUAGUGUACUAUAUAGUGUGCCACUUCUGGUCAAAUCUAGUGCUCUUUAUAGUGUGUCACUUCUGGUUAACACUAGUGCACUAUAUAGUGUGUCACUUCUGGUCAAAACUAGUGCACUAUAUAGUGUGCCACUUUUGGUCAAAUCUAGUGCACUAUAUAGUGUGUCACCUCUGGUCAAAUCUAGUGCACUAUAUAGUGUGCCACUAGGGACAGACACACCAAGGGUUAGGCAGGGUUGUGUAGUCUGUUAUUACAGAUGCUCAUCGUCUGUCUCUGCUUCUAACUGUUAUCCUGUCAGACACAGAUUAAACCCUAUUUCUGGAAUCUCUACUGAAAGUGCUUCUUAAUCCAGGAAUUGUCUUAAUCUGUGUCUGGGAAACUUGUCUGUUAUGGGUUAGAAUGGAAUUGGCCUUCCUGUGAAUUGUCUUACCUGGGAAGGCUAUUUUGAAUCACAACCCGGCACAGCCAGAAGAGGACUGGCCACCCCACAUAGCCUGGUUUCUUCCUAGGUUUUGGCCUUUCUAGGGAGUUUUUCCUAGCCAACGUGCUUCUACAUCUGCAUUUCUUGCUGUUUGGGGGUUUAGGCUGGGUUUCUGUACAGCACUUUGAGAUAUCAGCUGAUGUAAGAAAGGCUUUAUAAAUCAAUUUGAUUUGAUGUGAACUGAAAGUACUGGUUCACAAAAUUGUACAAAGUAUUCAGAACCCAGUAAAAAUGAGUCCUGGGUCUGUGAAAUUAGUUCUACCGCCAUCCUUUACUUUAAAUAUUGACUUUGUUGCAUGUUAACAGCCAACCAAUCAAGCUUCAUUUGACCUCUCCUGUAAUAACAUGGUAUAUUACGGAAUAGUUGGGUACGUGUGGAGAUUUGUUUGGAUUGAAAACACAAACCAAUGAUAAAAAAAAAAAUGAAACCAGAGAUUCUUGUUGGUACUGCAUUGGCUUUACUUGUGUUUAAAAUCACUGUCCGUCUCUGUCUGUGUCCCACAUGGACCCUAUUUCAUAUAGACCUGCGAUACCAGGGCACAUAAGACUUUGGUCAAAAGUAGUGUACUAUAUAGGGAAUUAGGCUUUGUCCCAAAUACACCACCUAUGUUUAUUGUUUGUCAUGUAACCAUAACAUGAUGAAAUCAAAUCUGCCCCUCAGACUGUGGUUGCUACACAUCAUUUACAAUUCAAUGCUAAAUCAUCUCUGUAGUAUAUGUUAUAGUAAUUAGCAACAUCAACAAGAAUUUAGUGUUGUUCAACUAUUUCUCACUUUAGUUGGAACUAAUGUUUGGGUGAGAAAUAUUUGGGGGAGGGAAACAUUUUUAUUUCUAAACAUAUUAAAAUAAUAGUAUAGUAUAUUUUAAAUGUCAGGGUACAUGCCAUUACAAAAAAAAAAAAACAUGUCAGAAACGGAAUGUAUUGCUUGACUGCUGGACACGUGAUACAACCAGACGCGUCAAACCUGUUGCGUUCCAGCGGAAGUCCUUCGUCGUCCGUGGAGCUGUCCGCAAAGACGGGCUGAAACGUUUUGCAUAGUUAGAUUUCGGGUAUAUGAAUUGCAUAUACGAUGAUUGUUAAACGUGUGGGUGAUGAACAGUUUCAGGCAGCGCUUGUGUUGUCCACUGUGAUGUGAUGCUGUGACCAACAUUGGCCUGGAUGCUUCCAACAUAGAAAAGGACGUUUUUAUUAAUUUAGUAGCCUGAGCUAAAUAAAAUGUUUUAAAAAUUG
Oncorhynchus gorbuscha (pink salmon) is the source of this 4982-nucleotide long non-coding RNA. RefSeq lists it as uncharacterized. NCBI's taxonomy places the organism in Eukaryota, Metazoa, Chordata, Actinopteri, Salmoniformes, Salmonidae. The record is from RefSeq and is a predicted model, not a curated record. The transcript has 2 exons.